UUUUGCCUACGGGACGCAGCAGUGGGGAAUAUUGCGCAAUGGGCGAAAGCCUGACGCAGCGACGCCGCGUGAGGGAUGAAGGUCUUCGGAUCGUAAACCUCUGUCAGCAGGGAAGAACGGUCACUGUGCUAAUCAGCAGUGAAUUGACGGUACCUGCAAAGGAAGCACCGGCUAACUCCGUGCCAGCAGCCGCGGUAAUACGGAGGGUGCGAGCGUUAAUCGGAAUUACU
Molecule: ribosomal RNA, 230 nt
Filed under: uncultured bacterium
Lineage: Bacteria
Description: partial 16S ribosomal RNA
Rfam family: Bacterial small subunit ribosomal RNA
Source: RNAcentral